Long non-coding RNA from Hibiscus syriacus, 674 nucleotides. RefSeq lists it as uncharacterized. Lineage: Eukaryota; Viridiplantae; Streptophyta; Magnoliopsida; Malvales; Malvaceae. The record is from RefSeq and is a predicted model, not a curated record. The transcript is spliced from 3 exons.
AACAUUCCUGGUAUUGCUGGGUUUAGUGAAGAUGAUUCUAAAUCAGUUUUCAGUUUUAUGAAGUUUACAGUAGAGUUAGCGAAAUCCGGUGAUCAUCUGACUGUCAAUGCUGCUUUGAUAGUGGAUCCAUUAGUCGGGAAUAUAAUUGCAAGUGCAUGUGAUGAACUCUGCUCGUGGCAUAUGGGAACAAAAAAAGCAAAGACAGAAACCUGCUCCUUCAAACAGUCAGAAGGAUUCUCUUCCGAUGCUGAUGCUAACAGGAUAGCAUGAGAUACAACUUUGCUUUCAAAUGGGUCAUUUGACAAUCUCCAACAAUGUCACACCACAGUAUCUUGUUUAAACCCUUGGCAUUUUGCACAACAAUCAUUGGAUACGAGUCCUUGUUAUUGUCAAGCAUUACGACAUGCUGCCAUUGUUGCUAUUGAAGCUUCUGCUGCCAGGGACCGACAUUUGUUCCCUGGUUCUGGGCAGAGUGAUAAGUUGUAUGAUGUUGAUUCUACUCAUUCUUCUCCCUCAGGUUCUCCAGCAAAGAGACAAAGGAUCACCCUUGAAAAUGUAAACAAUGAUGGGGAACAGGAUGCGAACACCGAAGGUUCAAACUCCUUAACCAGACCCUAUCUGUGUACUGGCAAUGACAUCUAUCUUGUCUGGGAGCCUUGUACAAUGGAAGUUGU